GAUGAACGCUAGCGGCAGGCUUAAUACAUGCAAGUUGAGGGGCAGCAUGAUAUACGCGAGUAUAUUGAUGGCGACCGGCGGACGGGUGAGUAAUAGGUAGGAGACCUACCUCAUACAGGGGGAUAGCAUAGAGAAAUCUGUGGUAAUACCCCAUGAGGUUAUAUGAAUAGAGGCAUAUAAUCAAAGCAUAAGCGAUUAUGCGGUAUGAGAGGGGCCUACUGACCAUUAGCUAGUUGGUGAGGUAAGGGCUCACCAAGGCGAAGAUGGUUAGGGGUUUUGAGAGAGAGACCCCCCACAUUGGAACUGAGAGACGGUCCAGACUCCUACGGGAGGCAGCAGUAGGGAAUAUUGGGCAAUGGGCGAAAGCCUGACCCAGCCAUGCCGCGUGAAGGAAGACGGCCUUAUGGGUUGUAAACUUCUUUACUACGCGAAUAGAGGUUAGUACGAGAUACUAAUAGGAAGGUAGUGUAGUAAAAAGCAACCGGCUAACUCCGUGA
This 497-nucleotide ribosomal RNA is filed under the name uncultured bacterium. RNAcentral's name for it is "bacterial SSU rRNA". It matches the Rfam family "Bacterial small subunit ribosomal RNA", at positions 28 to 508 of the family's 1533-position model. The record is from RNAcentral.